RNAcentral lists this ribosomal RNA (253 nucleotides) under uncultured bacterium. RNAcentral describes it as "partial 16S ribosomal RNA". It matches the Rfam family "Bacterial small subunit ribosomal RNA", at positions 524 to 776 of the family's 1533-position model. The record is from RNAcentral.
UACGUAGGGGGCGAGCGUUGUCCGGAUUUAUUGGGCGUAAAGAGCUCGUAGGCGGUUUGGUAAGUUGGAUGUGAAAACCCGGGGCUCAACUCCGGGCCUGCAGCCGAUACGGGCAGACUAGAGUUCGGCAGGGGAGACUGGAAUUCCUGGUGUAGCGGUGAAAUGCGCAGAUAUCAGGAGGAACACCGGUGGCGAAGGCGGGUCUCUGGGCCGAUACUGACGCUGAGGAGCGAAAGCGUGGGGAGCGAACAGG